Molecule: ribosomal RNA, 464 nt
Filed under: Vreelandella stevensii
Lineage: Bacteria; Pseudomonadati; Pseudomonadota; Gammaproteobacteria; Oceanospirillales; Halomonadaceae
Description: partial 16S ribosomal RNA
Rfam family: Bacterial small subunit ribosomal RNA
Source: RNAcentral
CUACGGGAUUCUGCAGUGGGGAAUAUUGGACAAUGGGCGAAAGCCUGAUCCAGCCAUGCCGCGUGUGUGAAGAAGGCCUUCGGGUUGUAAAGCACUUUCAGUGGGGAAGAAAGCCUUGGGGCUAAUACCCUCGAGGAAGGACAUCACCCACAGAAGAAGCACCGGCUAACUCCGUGCCAGCAGCCGCGGUAAUACGGAGGGUGCGAGCGUUAAUCGGAAUUACUGGGCGUAAAGCGCGCGUAGGCGGUCUGAUAAGCCGGUUGUGAAAGCCCCGGGCUCAACCUGGGAACGGCAUCCGGAACUGUCAGGCUAGAGUGCAGGAGAGGAAGGUAGAAUUCCCGGUGUAGCGGUGAAAUGCGUAGAGAUCGGGAGGAAUACCAGUGGCGAAGGCGGCCUUCUGGACUGACACUGACGCUGAGGUGCGAAAGCGUGGGUAGCAAACAGGAUUAGAUACCCUAGUAGUC